RNAcentral lists this ribosomal RNA (466 nucleotides) under uncultured bacterium. RNAcentral describes it as "bacterial SSU rRNA". It matches the Rfam family "Bacterial small subunit ribosomal RNA", at positions 331 to 796 of the family's 1533-position model. The record is from RNAcentral.
CCAGACUCCUACGGGAGGCAGCAGUGAGGAAUAUUGGUCAAUGGCCGAGAGGCUGAACCAGCCAAGUCGCGUGAGGGAAUAAGGCCCUAUGGGUCGUAAACCUCUUUUGUCAGGGAGCAAAGGCGUCCACGUGUGGACGAGAGGAGAGUACCUGAAGAAAAAGCAUCGGCUAACUCCGUGCCAGCAGCCGCGGUAAUACGGAGGAUGCGAGCGUUAUCCGGAUUUAUUGGGUUUAAAGGGUGCGUAGGCGGAGUGUCAAGUCAGCGGUAAAAUUUCGGGGCUCAACCCCGUCGUGCCGUUGAAACUGACGCCCUUGAGUGAGUGAGAAGUAAGCGGAAUGCGUGGUGUAGCGGUGAAAUGCAUAGAUAUCACGCAGAACGCCGAUUGCGAAGGCAGCUUACUAAACUGCCACUGACAUUGAUGCUCGAAAGUGUGGGUAUCAAACAGGAUUAGAUACCCUAGUACC